RNAcentral lists this ribosomal RNA (375 nucleotides) under Triticum aestivum (bread wheat). Its description in RNAcentral is "partial small subunit ribosomal RNA". Lineage: Eukaryota; Viridiplantae; Streptophyta; Magnoliopsida; Poales; Poaceae. The record is from RNAcentral.
AUGGAGGAGGAGGCCGGCCAGGACGAGAUGGAGCAGGAGGCCGGCCAGGAGGAGGCCAUGUUGUCAGGGCACAACGAGGAUGAUCAGGUGGACGUGGACGCCAUGCUGUAUUGCCAUGAAGCAUUUCUGUCACAGAGGGAGGAAGAGGAGGAGGAGCCUGAAGAAGUCCAGGCCAUGUGCGUGCGAUGCGACUCCCUGGAGAGGUUGGUGACGCUCUUACCGUGCAGGCACGCCUCCUACUGCGAACGCUGCUUCGCCAUCGUCGACCGCCGCCAGGGAGCAGGGCGGCUGUGCGCGGUUUGCUGGCAGCCCUAUGCGCGGGGGCACCCUCAGUCCGGAGGUCUGCAGCCCAAGCCGAAGAAGAGCUCCAAGUAA